AGUGGUAGAGCUCAGUGGUAGAGCGCAGGCUCAGCAUGCACGAAGUCCUGGGUUCAAUCCCCAGUACCUCCC
RNAcentral lists this transfer RNA (72 nucleotides) under Camelus bactrianus (Bactrian camel). It matches the Rfam family "tRNA". Rfam says of the family: Transfer RNA (tRNA) molecules are approximately 80 nucleotides in length. Lineage: Eukaryota; Metazoa; Chordata; Mammalia; Artiodactyla; Camelidae. RNAcentral also lists the same sequence under 2 other names. The record is from Rfam by way of RNAcentral.